This is a long non-coding RNA of Motacilla alba alba, 7126 nucleotides long. RefSeq lists it as uncharacterized. The transcript has 5 exons. NCBI's taxonomy places the organism in Eukaryota, Metazoa, Chordata, Aves, Passeriformes, Motacillidae. The record is from RefSeq and is a predicted model, not a curated record.
CAGCGGUGCUCGCCCGCCGGCGGCCCGAGGGAUGCUCCGCGCCUCGGCGGGGGCAGUGCUCGCUACGAACGUGGGGCCGCGCCGCUGUGUAGGCACAGGUGCGUGUCAGCGGGCCUGAGAGAGGACACAACCCCCCUCCAUAACUAUUGUAUCAGCCCGUCUCUAUAGAAUGGAAGUGUGCUGACUUGUUAAGCCUGGAGCAGGGCAGAGCUGCCUGCUGCUGGGAGAGCAGGUCAGAGAGGAGUGCUGGCAGAAGUGGAGUGUGCCAGCAGCCGAGCAACCUGACCUGCUGGCAGCAAGAUGGAGGAGCUGCAUGCAGGAAGAUAAGGGAGGGAGCAAUGAUCUGUCUGGAGAAGUGGGAUUUCAGUGCGGCUCCAAGCACAGAUGCACUGGCAGGUGGCUCAUGAAUGGAUCAGACAAGUCCUGGUGCUCAUGUGAGGAACGAACACAUUCAUGAGGGCAAAGGAAGAGUGCAACUGCACCAUCAUGACUGACAUCAACUUAAGAGACAUGUGCCUGGCUCCAUUUGUGAGCAUCACCUGGAGUUCAUCAGCAGAACAUCACCUGGGCUGUUACAGGUCUGCCUGUGCAUCACUUUGCUCCUCUGUGAAAUGGCAACACUCACAUGGAGGACAAAAGUAAUGUUGCUGUUCAGGGAAGAGAGAUUUUGCCUCAGGAACAUUAAAUGCAGGGGUAUUAUGUCACAAAAUUCUUAGCACAAAUGUUGUUUUAAGCUAUCAGCACCUAGUCAAUAAAUGAGGGUAUGUGAAGGACCUAUUAAAAUAUAAGUUUGUGUGUGUAUGGUUAUGGAGGAAGUUUUGAAGGCAGGCUGACUCCACAAGUAUAAAGUGCAGAAAUACAUUUUAAAACUCUCUCUUGAAGUUUAAUUCUUGAGAAAUCAAAGCUUUCUUAAAAGCUUCAACAAUGCAUACUCAGAUAAAAGAGGUCGACCUGAGCAGAAUAGAAACUGCAAGGUCUUUCUUGGUUUUAGCGUCAGAGUUUCAUUUGUUGUUCUUCUUUUUGUGUAGUUUCAGCAAAAAGCUCAAAUAUUUGAAUCCAGCCACUCUUCUUGUCAUCACUGAGCUGUAACUGUAAGUGCUGACCUUGUACAAAAUAUUCCCUUCCUUAGAAAGCUGAUAAGCCCCAGUUUUGGGUAUGCUAAGAGUGGUCCUGAUAAAGAACAGUUCGCUAAUUUAACUCAGCGUUUUCAUUUUCCUUUUGUGUUUUAACAAAUAGUUUUAUUUCUUGUGCUUCCUCCCCAUUCCCCUGCCCUGCAAUUUCUUAUGAAUGUGAGUCUGCCUGUUAAAAACACAACAGAGGGUUUUUAAAGACAGAGAAUAAAAGAACAAUGGCAGAGAAUGAUCUCAGGAAAUCUCAGGGACAAUGAGAAAUCUUAUCAGGGUUGGCAUGAGAAUCAGUGAGAAUUAAGAAAGUCCCUUAAACAGUCUCACUUCUUCAUUUUAACAAGUGUAUUAUAAAUCAAUUUCUCCCCCAGGAAUUGACUGCAAAGAUAUGUGUGUGAGCAAAGCCUGUUGAGAAGUAGAGCAAAUUAAAAUUUUAGCAUAAUGCAUGAAACCUCAAUCCAGCUGGAGGAUGGGCCUUUUUGAGGUGAUUGCUGGGAAAUACAGCUUCUGCAAAGUUUCAUAUCUUUCGCAAAACAUGCUCUCUCAGUGAGUCAGGCAGCAAAUAACCUCCCCUGCUUGCUCUCCUAAAGCAAGAUGGAUGGUGUUAGAGGAACAUUCAUCAAGCUGGAUCCAGCUGAGCACAAACUGCCGCAAUGAAACGCAAGGAGUAACUGGAACAGUGACUCUGAAUGUGAGCGUGCAAUUUCUGCCGAGAACAGGGAGUUUCGUGCCCUGAUAACUAAAAUCAGACAUUGGUCUUGCAGUCUCUAUUUUUUUAUGUAGGUACCACAGAGCUACAGCUCCCUCAGUUUCUCCUGGAAAUGUCUUUAAACUGUUAAAAUUUCUUUCUCAUUUGCAAAUUUGUCUGUAGUAAGAGCACAGUGCUAAACCUCUAUAAGGAAAAAGUUUAACACAAAUGAAAUUUCAUUGCUUCUGUGCUAUCUUUGCUGCUUACAAAUUACCUCUUGCCUGGGAUAUUGUUGGUAGUGAAAUCUCUCCUUUGCAGCAGUUAUUUAAUGUUUCUCUCUCUUAUGGCCAUUUUCAGUUCAAACACCUUGCCUACCCCAUUCAUCUUCUGCCUCCACCCACGGUCAGGACUUUUGUUUAUCUUCUGGUUAGUUAAAAUGUCUGCCUCAUUCCCUGAGCAAAAUUAAACCCCAGGCAGGAAAAAUGCUACUAGGAUCCCCUAGGAUUCUCCAUGGGCAGUUAAUACAAAUCAAAUCUUCCUCCUAUAAAAUGAGUAAAUGAAUAAAAACACUCUUUUUGACUCUGUGCUCUGGACUUGAUAUGAGCCACUUGCCAAAAUCUACAGGACAGAGCAAAGGAAGGGGGUUUUUUCCCUCUCCUUCCAACUACACUCCUGACUAAUGCUUCAAAAAUCGGAGUGAUGUUGUUCCAUGCACUUGAAAACAGAGAUGUUCUGUGUAGAAACUUCCACAAGCAUGGUGUGUCCUUCCCACAGAAGACGUGUGUACCUCAGAUCCUGAGUCUGCAGCUUGGUCCUGGCCCCGUUUACUGCCUUGUGCAUUUAUGUGCGAAAGCUCUGCCAUAGCCCUGAGGAACGUGGAAUUAAAAGUCUGUAGUUCCCUGGGUGACUUCUCAGUGAUGGCUUUUGUGCAAGCCUGGUUUUAGUUCUGUUCCUUGAAAUUGCAGCUCAAAAUCCUGGAAGUUUUUCUUUAUGCACCAAGUGACAGACCUCUAUGGAGCCUGCACACAGCUCUGCCAGAGAAGUAAAUUGGCUGUAUUGGUCUAUUACCCACUUACCGCUGCUGAGAAAUACGUGUCUGAACAGCUGUCAAGGCAAAGCUGUGUGAAUCAUUAAAACGGCUUUUCAGCUCGCCACUGAUGAAAUCCACAGAGCUGAUGCGGCAGCACAGAAAGAUUUAAGAUCAAAACAGAGUUUUGAAAAUUCCUCAGCUGCUGGCUCAGCUUCAGCUGGUGCUGGGGAGGCAACAGAGGUCGCAACUUUGCUUCAGCUCCUGGAAUGAGUCUUGGGUGAGGAGCAGAAACUCAGGGAUGGCUGAUGAGAUAUUACUGGAGACCGACACCUGGGGCUGGGCAGCUGAAGCAAGCCAGGACUCAUCUCAACAAACUUCAACUGCCUGAAAGCAGUCAGUGUCAGUGAGCUGGCCUGAAGGCUCUGAAAUAGUGAGAUUCCCCUUUGUGGGCAGGUGUGCAGCUGGCACAGGGCAGCAUGACAAUGUAUCUAGGAUAUAUUUUAGAUUGUUUAAAUUUUCCAUGCCCAAACAGAAGAAUGUUCAAUUAUUAUCAAAAUAUUAGGGCAUAUUAUUGGCAAAUUUAAAGCUUUUGGAACAAAAAGAUGAGGUUUCUGAAUAGAAUGCCCAAUCUUUUUGUGGCAUGACUUUAACCAGGGAGAAAACGUCUGUGAGAAGGAGUAAGAAUUUAAGAAGAAUUUCAAGCUAGAAACUGGAGAAGUGAGGAGAAAGAGAGGAGCAGAGAAUCAUGAUGACAUUUGUUUAAAGGUGCCAUUUUGACCUCUUUAUAAUCACAAGUCAGAAAUAUCAGACGUAUUCCAGAAGGAAGAUAAUUACUGGGUCAUUGUAAUAGCAUGAUAAAAAUUACAUGGGAAAGAACCAAAAUAGAUCCCCUCCAAAUUAGGAAAAGGACAUGAACUCUGUCAAAUUAAAAGCAGAAACGGAAAGGAAGACUAAAAAAAUAUUUUGAGGAAACUUGCUACUAGACAAAAAAGCCUCCUCUAUCCCAGCAGGAGUAGGGAGCCUGCUGGAGGGUUCUGCAGGUGACCAGGGUGUGCAGUCAGCAGAUGAUCAAGGUGGCAAAGGAGUUUGAGAGGAAACACAUCCUAACACAACAGCUAAACAGAUUACUCGUGUCUGUGUUUAGUGCAGAAAAGCUUAGUGAAAUUCCCAUGGAAGAACCAUUUGUUAAAGGGAUAAUGCAGGGAAGCUGCCUCAGAUUGAAGGGUCGUUAGAUGAGGCUUUAGAACAAAUAAGUGCAAGGGAUAGUUGCAAAUUCAUGAAAAGCAGAUGUUACUCGCUUGUGGGUUUUUAAGGAAUGCUAAUGGAAAUUAUUGCACUAUAUGAGCCAGUGCAUAAGCUUUUACUUAAAACAGCUGAAGAAAAGGGAUGGCAAUUAAUACUGUUUUCUUUUAAGUGCUGAAAGGGAUCUAGAGAAAUGCAAGCCAUUAAAUCUGACACCUGUGGCAGGCAAACAGCAAAAGCCAUAGUAACAGAAUAGUUGCAAGGAGAGAUAUAGACUAAGAGGGGAGAAUUGGCAGAGCUUUGCAGUGAGAGCCUAUGAAGCUGUGCUCCACCACCCUCUGACAGCUUCAGAGGAAACUGUGAAGCUGCAGAUGAGAGCAAUCCGCUCACUGUGAUCUGCUCAGCUUCUGGAAAGCCUUUAACAACAUCUGUCACCAAGGACCCAUUAAGAAGCUAAUCUGGCACGGGGAAGAUCCUCUCAUGAGUCAGCAACUGCAUACAGGAUAGAGAGACAAGGUAAGGAUAAAUCAUCCAUUCUUCACAAUGGAGAGAAGCUGCCAAUUGCAUCUUAGAAGGAUCGUGGUAGGGUCAGUGUUCAUCCGCAGACCCAUGAGUCAGGCAAAUGACUGAUCUGCUGGUGGUACCAGUUUGUUCAAGGCAGUAAAAUGCAAACUGCAUAAAGGAGUUGCAAAAACCAUCUCAUGAGUUUGCACAAAGUAACGGCGGGUGAAAAUCAGUGUAGCUAACAGCAGAGAAAAACACCUGGCUGAGCUGGGAUGAAGACUGCCUCACUACCCAGCCACAGCCAUGGCCUCUGAAACACCUGGUACUACUCAGGACAGGUAUCUGGGUGCCACUCAAAUGCUUAUUAAUUACUAUAAAGCAUUUUAAUAUAUUAUGAAGGGAAGAGGUGUCACAGAGUUAUGGAAUGGUUUGGGUUGAAAGGGACAUUAAAGAUCAUCUAGUUCCACGCCUUGUCGUGGGCAGGCACACCUUCUAUUAGACCAGGUUGCUUAAAGCCCCAUUUAAUUUGGCAUUGGAUCAUUCCAGGUAAAAGGCACCCACAUCUCUAUACAACCUGUGCCAGGGCCUCACCACCCUCACAGUGAAGAAUUUUUUCUAAUCUAAAUCCACCCUCUUUCAUUUUAAAGCCGUUCCUCCUUGUCCUGUUACUACAUGCCCUUGCAAAAAGUCUCUCUCCAACUCUCUUAUAAGCCCCCUUUAGGUACUGGGAGGUGCUGUAAGGUCUCUCCAGAGCUGUCUCCUUUCCAGGCUGAACAACUCCAGCUCUCUCAGCCUACGUACAAAGGAGAGGUUCUCCAGCCCUCUGAUCAUCUUCAAUUAUCUCCUCUGAACUCCCUCCAGCAGGUGCAUAUUCUUUUUAUGUUGGGGUCCCCAGAGCUGGAUCCAGCACUUGAGGGGAGGUCUCACAAGAGCAGAGCAGAGGGGCAGAAUCCCCCUCCUCAACCUGCUGGUCACUCUGCUUUGAUGUAGACCAGGAUACAGUUGGCUUCCUGGGCUGCGAGCACACAUUGCCAGGUCAUGUUGAGCUUCUCCUCAACCAACACCCCCAGGUCCUUCUCCUCAGGGCUGCUCUCAAUCCAUUCUCCACCCAACCUGUAUUUGUGUUUGAGAUUGCCCAAUCCAGAUGCAGGACCUCGCACUUGGCCUUGUUGAACACGACAAGGUUUGCACAGUCCCACCUCUCAAACCUGCUAGCGUCCCUCUGGAUGACAUCCCUUCCCUGCAGUGUGUCCACUGCACCACACAGCCUGGUGUUAUUGGCAAACUUGAUGAGGGUGCACUCAGUCCCACUGUCCAUGUCACUGACUAAGAUUUUUAACAGCACCAGCCCCAACACUGACCCCUGUGAAAUAUCUUCACUUGGGACACCAGCCCCUCCUUGUUGACAACACCAGGGUCCAGCAUAGCACCUUGCCUUGUUGGCUGCUCUAUCACUUGGAGAAGGAACCUCCUGGAUUGCUUAUGCUUUACUGUGCUGUCUUCUCCAACAGGUAUGUCCCCAUGAGGACCAGGGCUUGUGAAAGUGAGGCAAUUAUGUAUUAUGUAAACCAAGAUUCUUCAAGGUGGGAAAGAAGAGUCUGAGAGAGAGUAUGGUGGAGCUCUGUAAACUCAAAUGGGCCAUGGAGUCACUACCUCCCAUAACAUGCAAGAAAGGGGCAUCAGAUGAUGUCUUUAGGUUCAAGACAAAGAUGAAGGCAACAAGCUCUGCUCUUGGACAAAGAAGUUUGUCCCUUUACGAACCUGUUUUCACAGAAUGUUGGGGAGUAUAGAAGCACUGUAAAUGGUUUUAGAAGCAAGUGAACAACUUUGUGGAAGAUAAAUCAUCUGAAACACUAAGCUACCCCUCAGACGAGGAAGACCCUAGACAAGAAGUGGCUGUCCUCCCUUCUGGCCAUGAGCAGAGUUAGGACACCAGAUGGAAAUGCUUUGCAGCCAAACCUGUUUUGACACUGUAUCAACCAGACAAUUUUUAGAAGUAGAUUAGAAGAAACCCCCUCACCCUGCAGAAAAGAAGUGCACAAGCACAGCUUUGCUUUCUGAUGGGACUAUGAUCACCCUAUUAGCAUUAGUAGCAUUUCUUGCUCCAGGGUAAGUUACAGAGUUUGCUAUUUUAAAGCUUAAAAUAAAGAUUAAGAAAAAGAGCCCAUUCUUAUAUUCUUUUUCCAUGUAUUUUUUGUUUUGUGUUAGCUGAGGACAAGGCUGCAGUUUGACAAGCCCUACGCCAACACUGCUGCCAAAAGCAGCAGCUCUGCCCUCUCAUACCACUGGAAAGGACAAAUGGAGGGACAAAGGGGGGAGUGCAAAAUUAGCUUUCAGAGCUGAGAAAAUGAGGCUUCUCUUUUUCAUUCUUCUUCAGCCCUGCUGAAGGCAGGGCUGGCUUAGGCUGGUCCCAGGCACUUAUUGACCCAUAAUUUAAUUUGGUGAUGUUUCUUCUGACAGCUGUCCCUUGCAAAUUAUAACUGUCCUCAUCCCCACGAGAACAGCAGGAGUUGGUAGCUGAAUGUGGCCUUUCUUGGC